Long non-coding RNA from Drosophila simulans, 1632 nucleotides. RefSeq lists it as uncharacterized. The record is from RefSeq and is a predicted model, not a curated record. NCBI's taxonomy places the organism in Eukaryota, Metazoa, Arthropoda, Insecta, Diptera, Drosophilidae. The transcript is spliced from 4 exons.
AUCAGCAGGCCCAACAUCUGCCAACAUCUUUUGGUCCUUCUGACCAUCUAAGUGACUUGUGACGGGGUCACUUGCCAGCCAACAACAUUAAACUAAACAUAAUCAAAAUAGGCAAGGGCGAAUCGAGAAGCUGCCCAGGACUAUGCACUCAGAAAAAAUUUCUAAAGUAAAAUUAAAAUUUAACAAACGGAGUUUUAAUACUUACUAGAGCUUUUCGAACUGGCUUAGAUUUAUGUUCUUGUACUCACUGAUUUGGACUGGGCGAAACGUUAAAGUGUGACCGAGAACUUUGUGACAAUUUAUGGGCGCGAAAACUUUUGGCAUUUCCGUAAGAAACGACAAUGCAGCUGCCAAUUGCCAAAAGCCGCGCCACAACUAGUAAUAAAGUAGCCUGAACCGCGCACUCGAAAAAAUGGGCAGUAUUGGGAAAAGUUGCUGGCGCAAAAGAAAAUAUGAAAGAAAAUUUCAUUAAGCUCUGGCAGCAGCCAACUUGCUAAAAAGUUAAUCUAGCAAACUUUUUGGACAGCCAAAUUUUUCAGCUGCCAGCAUGUGUGUGUGUGGUGUGUGGUGUGUGCCCCAAAGAUUUCCAUUCACAGAUGAUCUGCUCGAAUGGACGCCAACUUUAUCUGUCUUAGAAAAAAUUAUGAAGAUAUUUUGCAAAAUUUACUGGCUGGCAAGGAUGUGCUCCAUCAAUUUGCUACUCUCUCAAUAGACCAGCUCAUGUGCUGCUGACACAUUCAAUUGAUUAAGCCAAGCCACAACGCCGCCAAGGAAACUUUUCGCCCAGAUCCUGGCUGAAUCCUGGCGAAAAGGAGGUGCGGCGGUGCUCAUUGCAAGGCAAAGUUAAUUUUGAAUCGUUUAUCAAACAGCGUGGAGCUGCAAACUUGAAGUGCAUGUGCUGGCAGGCUGCCAUAUUCGAGUACCUGACUCUAGAAUUUGACUAGAAAAAACUAUAACCUUGUGUGGAAAAUACUGUGCAUAUACGUAGAUGUGGGGGGAAAAACUGGUGAGCUUCAGCUAUUUGUCAAAUUUGACUCGACUUUGGCUGCUCUGGGCUCUGGGCCUGGUGCAAAUUGAUGAAAUGAGUUGUGAAAAUUCACAGAGAACCUACUUAUAUGCCAUAUGCACAUGCACAAGUUAAUGGAAUCAAUGCGGCAGGUAUGAAAGUAAACGGCAUGGAAAAUAAACCAAUGUUAUGCAAACAAAUGGUUGGGAGGAAAAGAAAAACUUCUUAAAAGCGGAAAAUAUCUGCAUUUCCGUUUGUGGCCAAGAAUGUAGAAAUGAUCAAGUGCCAGUUGCCAAAGAAACUAUUUUGGCUGAUUCCCACGGCAGCCAGUCAAUCAUGGAGUCACUUAGCACGCUCCAUAUCCUGGUACUCGAUGCUCGAUAGAGAGAUCUGAUUCCAUACAGUACAUAUGAAUUAUCCUUGACACGUAUAAUUCGCAGCCACUAGCUGCUGAGGUGUAAUCGUUUACCGCUCGAACGGAGUGCCAAAUGAGGCGACACACCGAUGCACUGCAAGAAAAUUGGUUAGUUAUCGAAAGUAGGAAGCAAAGUGAACAUUUUAGGAGAAACACCAUCCUUUCAAGUGACUUUUCCAACUAAAUUUGUGAUAUACUCUUUUUGAACAGA